GUAUAAGAGACAGCAGCAGCCACGGGAAUACGAGGGGGGCAAGCGUUGUUCGGAUUUAUUGGGCGUAAAGCGCACGUAGGCGGCUUUGUAAGUUAGAGGUGAAAGCCUGGAGCUCAACUCCAGAAUUGCCUUUAAGACUGCAUCGCUUGAAUCGCGGAGAGGUGAGUGGAAUUCCGAGUGUAGAGGUGAAAUUCGUAGAUAUUCGGAAGGACACCAGUGGCGAAGGCGGCUCACUGGACGCGUAUUGACGCUGAGGUGCGAAAGCGUGGGGAGCAAACAGGAUUAGAUACCCGGGUAGUCCCUGUCUCUUAUAC
This 314-nucleotide ribosomal RNA is filed under the name uncultured bacterium. RNAcentral describes it as "partial 16S ribosomal RNA". It matches the Rfam family "Bacterial small subunit ribosomal RNA", at positions 495 to 807 of the family's 1533-position model. The record is from RNAcentral.